Cyanistes caeruleus (blue tit) is the source of this 1787-nucleotide long non-coding RNA. NCBI's taxonomy places the organism in Eukaryota, Metazoa, Chordata, Aves, Passeriformes, Paridae. The record is from Ensembl.
CAGCUGUGGCUUAUCAGGGGUGAGGUUGUCUGUAACCCAUUCUCCUAUAUAGAACUAAAUUUGUAUUGUGAAAGUGAUGUAAGGGUCAAGUUAGGGAGUUGGACCCCUUAAAAUACAUUUGGAGACACUGCAAUUUUCUUCCAGCUAAUGACAGAUCUGAGAGUAUUUUGUUCUAUGACCUCCUGUAAGAGUUAUUUCCAGAAUGUAAUGAAGAUGACAUUUCAUGAUUUGGAGAUUUUUUUGGAAACAGUCUACAUCAUCAGGGCAAGGGAAGAGAGAAAUAGGGCAGAGCUGUAGUCAUUACUCCUCUGAGAAGCAGCAUGGGCUUGCUAUCAUGCAUUUAUGCAAUGCCUUAAACAGAGGAGCUCUCUGGAAAAGACCCCAAAGAACCAUGUUAAUAAAACCAGUAAGUAAGAAUUGUAUUUCUCAUUCCAAAAAUAAGAAAUUACAUGAAGGUUUAACUGACUGGAACUCUGCCCCACAGCCUAUUUACUGGAAGAGAGUAGUGUGUUAUGAUAAAUGGUGUGUGAAUAUAAAUUUUAAAGCCAAGUUUCAUUUGCUUUUGAAGCAAAAGAGUGCUGAUAUCGGUGUACCACAGACACACCUGUGUCACUCUGGCUAUUUUUUAAAUAGCCCAUUGCUGAAGAAUAAUACCUGAUACUUGUAUUUAUUUUUAGAGGGGAGUAAUUUUCUGAUUUCUUCUACCAUUUUCUUCCCACAAUGUCCUUUGGUUUCUCAGGCUGUUUGAUUACUUUCAGGUCAUACUGUCACAGUAGUUUAAAACAUAAAUAUCUGGUAUGCCUUCUGCACACUGCAUUGUAUUUCACGUUACACUUCCUUUAGACACCAUGUCAAAGUGACCUUUGCUUCUCCAUCAUGGGGACUGAAGCAAAAGGGAGGUUUUGUAGAUAUAUAUUGAGAUUACCUGGUAAUGAACUCUGUGAUUCUUUCCUCUGUGUUACCAUAUUCCUCCCACCAUCCCCAAGCCACAAGUACUGUAAAGGUACCUUUCUUGUUCUGUCUUUGCAAUGUGACUGUUUUCUAUGAACCUGCUGUUUUGUAGCUGAUUCAGGUCUACUACAUAGCCCUAACAUUAUUUUAUUACAUUGCUGAUAUAUUUUUGUAAGAUUAAAUCCCUAAUUUGGAAUCCUGUAUUCUUUUGCUCUGAGACUGCGUGUGAAGGCAGAACUUUCAAAUCAAGUGUGAAGAGGUAGAAUGCUGUCAUGAAUUAAAAACACAUGCAUCAGGAAAUGCAUAGUUGAAAUUAACUGAGUUUUUCUCCUUUUCUCUUCCCUCCUUCUCUCAUCUGGGUUCUUGUGAGUACAACUUGGUCUUUGAAAUAGCAAUUGUAUUUCCCCAGCAUCAUGCUUCAGACAGAGAUUGUAGUUAAUUGCAUGUUCAUGAGAUAUCUAUGGAAAGGAGACAAAAAAGUUGCUUGUCCUAUCAUGUCUGGAGUACAUGUCUCCUAUGCAGCCUGUCAGAAAGGGAAUAUGACUUGGGGAUAACUUCACAUCUGCUUUAGAAACUUGACCCACAGUCAACCUUCUGCCGACUGAUUUUUUUAUUGACUGCUGCUUUCUAACCUUUGUUCUGCUUCCCUGUUUCUCUGCUAGUCCCAUAACUUGGCUAUCAGAUCACAGGUCUCUUCCCAUAGCCACAGAAAUGUCUGAAAGUGUCCAUAUAGGCAGAUCAGGCAGGAGCGGAAUAAUAAGGGAUUGUAUCUUUAUUGUGAAAACAGACUCUUCCCUUCACACACAGAUUAGGAAAUAAAGAUGUUUUUAAAGGCA